This 253-nucleotide ribosomal RNA is filed under the name uncultured Chromobacterium sp. Its description in RNAcentral is "partial 16S ribosomal RNA". It matches the Rfam family "Bacterial small subunit ribosomal RNA", at positions 524 to 776 of the family's 1533-position model. Lineage: Bacteria; Pseudomonadati; Pseudomonadota; Betaproteobacteria; Neisseriales; Chromobacteriaceae. The record is from RNAcentral.
UACGUAGGGUGCAAGCGUUAAUCGGAAUUACUGGGCGUAAAGCGUGCGCAGGCGGUUGUGUAAGUCUGAUGUGAAAGCCCCGGGCUCAACCUGGGAACGGCAUUGGAGACUGCACAGCUAGAGUGCGUCAGAGGGGGGUGGAAUUCCACGUGUAGCAGUGAAAUGCGUAGAGAUGUGGAGGAACACCAAUGGCGAAGGCAGCCCCCUGGGAUGACACUGACGCUCAUGCACGAAAGCGUGGGGAGCAAACAGG